Pelusios castaneus (West African mud turtle) is the source of this 71-nucleotide small nucleolar RNA. NCBI's taxonomy places the organism in Eukaryota, Metazoa, Chordata, Testudines, Pelomedusidae. The record is from Ensembl.
AAGUGAGAUGAUGGUAUGCCAUCUUUCGGGACUGACCUGAAAUGGAGAGAGCUUUUAAUGGCUGAUCACUU